UGGGGAAUAUUGCACAAUGGGGAAAGCCCUGAUGCAGCAACGCCGCGUGAAGGAUGAAGGUUUUCGGAUCGUAAACUUCUAUCAACAGGGACGAAACAAAUGACGGUACCUGAAUAAGAAGCCCCGGCUAACUACGUGCCAGCAGCCGCGGUAAUACGUAGGGGGCAAGCGUUAUCCGGAAUUACUGGGUGUAAAGGGAGCGUAGGCGGCACGUCAAGCCAGAUGUGAAAGCCCGGGGGCUUAACCCCGUGGAUUGCAUUUGGAACUGGCGAGCUAGAGUACAGGAGAGGAAAGCGGAAUUCCUAGUGUAGCGGUGAAAUGCGUAGAUAUUAGGAGGAACACCAGUGGCGAAGGCGGCUUUCUGGACUGCAACUGACGUUGAGGCGCGAAAGCGUGGGGAGCAAACAGGAUUAGAUACC
This 419-nucleotide ribosomal RNA is filed under the name uncultured bacterium. RNAcentral describes it as "bacterial SSU rRNA". It matches the Rfam family "Bacterial small subunit ribosomal RNA", at positions 355 to 786 of the family's 1533-position model. The record is from RNAcentral.